This is a non-coding RNA of Cricetulus griseus (Chinese hamster), 1076 nucleotides long. The record is from RefSeq and is a predicted model, not a curated record. Lineage: Eukaryota; Metazoa; Chordata; Mammalia; Rodentia; Cricetidae.
AAUUAGGAAAAGAAGCUGAAAAGAAAAUUUCCCAGAGAGUAAGGCUGUGUUAGUCAGUCAUUGGUUACUGUGACCAAAUGCCUGAAAAAGGUAACAUAAGAAAGGAAGGAUUUGCUUUGGUUCACAAGAAGCUGUUAGUUUCAGAGGAUUCCAUCCAUACUCACCCGAUGCCAUGCUUCUGGACCUGUGGUGAGGCAGAAGAGUGAAGGAGAAAGCUGCUCACCCCAUAGCAGCCAUGAAACAGAGCAUUAGGGUGGGAAGGGGUGUAGCAGAGGCUCUACCUUCAGAAGUUCCACGUCUUCCAAUGGCUUAUUCAAAGUCUGAAUCCAUCAGUGGAUUAGGUCAGUGCCCUCAGGGUCUUGUUAGCCUUGUGGCUAACUGUGCUUCCCAGGCACAGUCCCAGGGUCUGAUCUCGUUGAAGAUAUAGCUCUCAGCUACUUCUCCAGAACCAUGCCUGCCUGCCACCAUGCUCCCUGCCAUGAUAAUGGACUAAGCUUCUUAAACUGAAUUUGCUAUCAGAAAACUCAGGAGGGAGCUUCUUUCCUCAGGAACUGAGUAAAAACAUCUGCAGAGUUCCACAACGGGCAUUGUGCAUUGGGGGACAAAGACCCUCUGUUGAGCUUGUCCGUGGCUUGGCUAAAGUACAACCAAUCUGCCUCUGUAAGGAGGAGCAGCACCAGAGAGGAUGAAGUCAGCCAAGAGUUCUUUACAGCAUGGGCUGUGCAUGGAGCAAGAAGAAUCCAGAGAUGAAGAGGGUGCCUCUGACUUCUGUGGCUGAGACAUGCUCAACCUCUGUCCUCCAGACACAUAGUGCAUUAUGUUUGCUGUGUGAGCACAUUUCCUCUUUGCAAACUAAUCUGAGUUAGGCAUUUGUCACCUGACACAAAAUAUUUCUAAUUAAAUAACUAGCAUGCCAUCAUCCAAGAGUUUCCUUCAAUAUGAGGUUUGAAAGCCAGGAAUGAUGCUAUUCGUACCCAUUUAAUCAAGAAUGGACCUUCUGGCCUGAGGACAUGGCUCAGUGGGUACAGUGCUGGCUAGGUAAACCUGAAGAUUGGAUCCCAUAUGAAAAGCCCACU